UGGCCUUAGACCUAGAGCUUCCGAACCCGCCU
Molecule: non-coding RNA, 32 nt
Filed under: Mus musculus (house mouse)
Lineage: Eukaryota; Metazoa; Chordata; Mammalia; Rodentia; Muridae
Source: RNAcentral